AAGAAAAGAAGGCACUCGGAGAAUUCUUGUCUUGAAAACAAGAAGAGGGUGUUCGACUCACUCACCCUUCUCUUA
RNAcentral lists this transfer RNA (75 nucleotides) under Neotrigonia margaritacea. RNAcentral's name for it is "tRNA-Ser". The record is from RNAcentral. Lineage: Eukaryota; Metazoa; Mollusca; Bivalvia; Trigoniida; Trigoniidae.